This 4746-nucleotide long non-coding RNA is filed under the name Homo sapiens (human). Its description in RNAcentral is "HSALNT0301367". The record is from RNAcentral. Lineage: Eukaryota; Metazoa; Chordata; Mammalia; Primates; Hominidae.
GUUCCCCGGCUUUGCCGCGCGGAGGAAGUCCCGGUUACGCAGAGCGCGCUGGGGCAGGGCUGACCUUCCCCUUUCUCUACUUCACUGGCCUCCUCCAGACGUGGUGGUUGCGCCCUUUCGGCCUCGCUUUCCGUUUUUUGGCUUCAUCCCCUAGAUCUGCAAACAGUUCCUCGUGUUUCUUCCGUUAGCCGGGAAACGCGAACUGCAGCGUUUGGGACCCGGGUUUGCGCGUGUGGAAAGCAAAAGGGGUUACUCUGCUGGAGUUCGACAUUGCAAAUAAAGGUCUUUAUCCCCGGCGGUUCUACAAAAUUAGUUCUGCAGGGAUUCUGGUUGAAAGAAGCGUUAAAGUGGGCCUUGUAGGAGUCAGCAAUAAUCCAAUUUUACAUGGGUGCAGGUGGCUGCCUGUGUCUAGCGCUUUCACACAUCUCAUAUCUUCAUCCACGCCGUGGGUAUUUUUUUUCCACGGUGUGUUUCUGUUGCUGCCUCCAGUAUAUUGCUUAAUCAUCCUACCUGGUAAUUAUUUAUGCAUUUUUCUCCUACUCUCGACUCAGCUCCUAGGGAAUAAAAACACAUUAACUUAUCUUUGUGCCCACAGCACCCACCAAGUAUUUCCAUCACGUAAUACUGCCUCUAGAAAGGCAGGAGGAGAAGCAGUCACGCUAAGGAUCUAGGCAAGCCAGAUCUUUUGUCCGGUUUUAGGAGGUGGCCAGCCCUUACUUAUUCCACAAGUGUUUUUCCAGAAACUCAGACUUGAUAUUGCCUCAAGUCCAAGGCAGUGUGCUUCCCCCACUCACAUAUCACUAAUAGUAGCUAACAUUUGUUCAGAUCCCUGUAUGUACUCUGCCACUGUUUUAAAUGUUACACCCGGGUUACCUCAUUUAAUCCUUACAACUGCCCUGUGAGGUAGGUACUAUUAUUAUCUCUACUUUGUAGAUGGGAUUCACCGAGGCACAGACGGUUAAAAAACCUAGCCCAAAUAACACAAAUAAACAGCAGAGCAUGCAGUGCUAGAGUCUGCAUUCUUAACAAUUGCUAUAUUCUCCCUCUCCGUGAAUGUGGGCUGAGAUGCUGAAACAGGCAUGUGCUGUGGGGGAGAAAAAGCUUUGUCCAACCAAGUGCUUUCUAAUGUCCAGAUGACAUAGAGCUAGGAUUUCCUAAUGUCUUUUUUCCCCUAUUUUUCUCUCCAUUUCAGGGUUGAGUUUGUGCAUCGAUUGUGAACACAACAGGCAGCAGGCUAUAAUGGUGGUCCUGGCUGGAGUAGUUUUCACAGACUUCAGUAAUCUGUGGAGAUGAACGGGCAGUUCUCUGUAGUUUUCACAGAUCACUGCCAGUUCGUUUUGAGGCCUUCAGGAGUGAAGACCUGGCUCAUCAUCACUCUUUGUUGUUUUGUUAAAUUUAUUUACACCCUACUUUAUUCCAGAGGAAAGGAUUUAACGUAGUUUACAUAAAUGUGUACAUCAGGGUAAAUUAAAAAUAAGUACAGAGAAAAAUAGGACAAAAGAAAACCGUGAGUGUGAAAGAUAAGAUUAAGCCAGCAGUUUUGUAUGCAAAAUGCAUGGUGUAAGGUCCUAUUGGUUUGCUGGAGGUAGGCCACACAUAUGACUCUCAGUUUUCUAGCAACCAAGAAAAAGAUCAGUUGCAAUCGGAGUAGGUGUUUUGGCUAAGCUGGAACUAGGACUUGAAUAUAGCAGCUUGUAGAGUUAUACCACUUGCCCAAAUCUCUUCCAUGAGCCUCUUUAAGUGUAACAGAAUGCCUGGGAGCACGUAAAUGCUCCUACUUAGAUGCCUACUUAGCCUCUAAUUUUCAUGGGGCCCAUGAAUCCCAUGAAAAAGAACUUUGAACCCUGUCCACAAUUAGAGUUCAGGUAUACGCAGACAUGUUUAAAGACAAGGGACACCCAAAGGAAAGAUUGCACAGAGAGAAAGUGAGCAUCCGAGAGAAAAUCACCACAAGUGAGGCAGAGGGAGGCCGGUCUCAGCAGAGUUUUGGAGGUCGUGAGAAGAAGAGGUAGGAGAUAGGAGAGUGGUUCCGAGUACUUGCCUGCUGAUGUUACCUUCUCCACCCCCACCAGGUUUUCCAGUGCCUGGAGUCUUGGGCAGGAAUGGGCCACUGUAAGAAAGAGCUUUAUCACUAGGGCCUCAGCCAACUUUUCUGUGGGAUAUCCCUCCAAAAUAAUUAAGAGUUCAGAAUGCUUCAGAUUUUGAAGUGAAACUGGUACAUAUAUUAAGUGUUACUUAAUAACCCGAUAGUUUCUAGGGCAGCUCACCAUAAUCCCAAGUAUUAGCCACCACCCUCACCCCCUUCAGAGUAAAAUGUGUUUCCUGAAGGAAGUUGGGAAAAUGAAGAAAAAAAAUACAAAAAUCACCUAUAAUCUUACCAGUCAUAGAUGGCAGUUUUCCUGUCUUAUUUCUGAAUAAUGGUUGUUAAACAUUUGCCAGCACACCAUAAGGCUUAGGGAGGCAUCUGGGUCAUGCAUGUUAAUAUCCUUGGGUAAUUCCAGAAAUCUCUAUGAAGGGAAACUCCUGUUAUUUAUCUAGACUUCCUGAUUGCAAGGGGUUUGGGCAUCAUGAUUUAGGGGUCUUAAUAAAAUUAUUAUUUUAUUUUUACUAAUAGAUAAUGUCUGUGCCUAUCAGAUAAAGGCAAACCAGUGCUCAGAGGAACCCAACCAUCUCUGAAUUGAGACCAGAGAGCUGUCUCUAUGGAUAGUCCUUAGAGAAGGCAUUUCGGAACACAGUAAACAGCAGCCUGGUGACUCCGAUUACAGGGCCAGUUGCCUUUGUUACAAUAAAAGCAAGUCAUCUACACAGAUUUUUCCUACCAGGAAGAGCAUGUGCUGACCAACAGACAUGAAUUUCAGCCUGGUAGUUACAACAUUCACAGUAUACCCACAUCACUAAGCUGGGAGGCACAUUUUGAGACCCAGAAUCCUGACACCUCCAUGCCUUCAAAAGGAUUCCCAUGAUUGGCUCCUUCUUGUCCCUAAGUCUCAGCUAAAGUGUUAUCCUGAAGAAAGGCCUUCACUGAUGAUCCCAUCCAAAGUAAUCACUGUAUUACACCAUUCAAUUUUAUUCUUUGCAUAGCAUUUACCCAUUGCUAAUAUUUUUCUUAUUUAUUUAUUUUUUUUAAAUAAUCUAUCUCCUGUCAACUAGAAUGUAAGCCCUGAUAGGGCAGGACUCUUUUAUUACACUGUAUUUUCAUUAUUAUAUCUACAGUGCCAAAAACUAUCCCUAACACAGGGGAGAUGCUCUAUACAUGUUUGGGGAGGAGGGAGGAAGGAAGGGAGGGAGGGAGAGAGGAAAGAAGGAAGGAAGGUGGGAAGAAAGGAAAGAAAGGAAGACAAUUGGGAAGGAUUUUUCUGAUCUGAGGCUGAUUGUUGGAGGCAUCCAACUGGUUAUUAUUUUGCUUAACAGCAAAAUAUUUUUAUCCACCUCCUUUGGAAACAAGAGAUCUUAAAGAUGUUUUGAGUUGAUUACAUAAGACUAUUUAACAGUGGUUAUGAAAACAGAUGAGUUAUCCUGAGAGGCUUUACUAGAUAUUUGUCAUCAUGAGCUCAGUCUCAUAAGUUAUUAUAAUAGAAAAUCAGGAAAAACUGCUUAUGUGUUUGAAUUCAAGUAGCUAAGUCUCAAAAUAUAAUAAAAAACAGUUGCACUACAGAUUUUCUUUCAAAAUAGCUCAAAAAUACCUUGUUGGCAGCAAAGGGAGUAAUAAUAAAAUAUCUUCCAAAAAACCUGAAAAUAGGAAAUAAAUUUGCCUUCUGAGAGUUAAACCAGUCAUACACACACACACACACACACACACACACACGUGCACACAUGCACACAUGUGCACGCAUGUGAACAUGCAUAGAAUCACACAGAGAUUAGGCUAAACCCAAUGAGGGAGUAAACUGAGAGAUAACCAGUGUGUACCUGAAGACUUUGGGAAUACCCCUAACUUCAGUGACCUGGGGGUAAUCCAGGAAGGCAAUCACCAGAAUGUGUUUGUUAAUUUAAUCCGUUGUAUGGAGAAAGUCUGGAUGAACAGAGGAUGUAGGCAGAGAGCUGUCAGCCUGUAGCCUGGAAAACCUCAACCUAAGAAGCAAGGAGUGGGUAGCACACUCCCAACUACUGUUCAAGAGAGAAGGGGCCUUGGCCUAAGGAUUUGAGCUCUCAGGUCUCUGUGGCAAAUGUAUCUUUGGAUAAGUCAUCUACCCACCUCUCCUUACUCAGAUUUCAUGCUCCACAUGGCUCCCUGUGUGCUGAAGCCUGAUUAUAGGAAGCAAAGACUCUGGUCUGCUGAUGUGAAGGCUCACCUGUUAGCUGGUUGCAUUUAUGGUUAAAAUGGAAUGAAUUUGAAUUCUGGCUAUACAGCAGUCUCUGUGAGCUUGGGUUAGUAUGAGUUUACCUGUGAGAUAAAGUUCCAGAGCAGAGUGACUUGUGACUUGUGUUGGGUCCAUACUAAGUGGCAGACAGUGGACCAGAAUUUAUACCACAAAUCCAGGUUGGCUCUGAGAAGACACUGCCACUAAGGACUGAUCUAAACUCAGUUCCCUUUCAAGUUCACCAAUUGUAUGACUCACAUGACAUUGAAUGAGGCCGGGAGUGUGAUACUAGCUGGACUCACCUUCAAGAACCCAAAAGACCCCAGUGGAUAAGAUGUGGAUACUCUAGUCCAUGGGUCAGCAAACUUUUUCUGUGAAGGGCCAGAAAACAAAUCUAUUAGGCUUGUGGACCACAUACAGCCUCUAUUACAUAUUUGUUAUCUUC